GUGUGGGGCUCUAUCCACGAGUUCCGUGCCGCAGCUAACGCAUUAAGCGCCCCGCCUGGGGAGUACGGCCGCAAGGCUAAAACUCAAAGGAAUUGACGGGGGCCCGCACAAGCGGCGGAGCAUGCGGAUUAAUUCGAUGCAACGCGAAGAACCUUACCAAGGCUUGACAUACGCCGGAAACACUCAGAGAUGGGUGCCCCGCAAGGUCGGUGUACAGGUGGUGCAUGGUUGUCGUCAGCUCGUGUCGUGAGAUGUUGGGUUAAGUCCCGCAACGAGCGCAACCCUCGUUCUAUGUUGCCAGCGGGUAGUGCCGGGGACUCAUAGGAGACUGCCGGGGUCAACUCGGAGGAAGGUGGGGAUGACGUCAAAUCAUCAUGCCCCUUAUGUCUUGGGCUUCACGCAUGCUACAAUGGCCGGUACAAAGGGCUGCGAAACCGUGAGGUGGAGCGAAUCCCAAAAAGCCGGUCUCAGUUCGGAUUGGGGUCUGCAACUCGACCCCAUGAAGUCGGAGUCGCUAGUAAUCGCAGAUCAGCAACGCUGCGGUGAAUACGUUCCCGGGCCUUGUACACACCGCC
RNAcentral lists this ribosomal RNA (575 nucleotides) under uncultured bacterium. RNAcentral describes it as "bacterial SSU rRNA". It matches the Rfam family "Bacterial small subunit ribosomal RNA", at positions 820 to 1394 of the family's 1533-position model. The record is from RNAcentral.